Leptopilina boulardi is the source of this 2466-nucleotide RNA transcript. It is a transcript of the gene named protein starmaker-like, with no coding region annotated. NCBI's taxonomy places the organism in Eukaryota, Metazoa, Arthropoda, Insecta, Hymenoptera, Figitidae. The record is from RefSeq and is a predicted model, not a curated record. The transcript is spliced from 6 exons.
UAUAACGACAAAGACUUCCUGUUCUAGAAUCUUCUAAAUUUUUCUAGAAUGCAAAAGCAAGAGAUAGAAAAAGACGCGAAUAUGUCUGCUUUUUUCUUUUGUUUUCCGGUUUCGAUGCUAAAUAAUGCGGACACGUUUUUUCGCGGUUAAUUACGAUGUGCAAUUAAUUUACGAAGAAAUGUAGUGAAGAAGUUCAAAAGUAUUGUUUUCAUCAAAGUGUAAAUAAAAAGUAUUAUAUUGUAAUUAUAGUGUUGUAAUGCGAAAAAAUGGCUGAAUUUGCAUACAUUAAAUUUUUGAAAAGUGAAGGAGAAGGUGACGCCAAGACUCAAAAAGUCCACACGUCGCAAAUACACAAAUUUCACGAGAUACAGUACACAAUUUUCCAAACCUACAAAGUAGAAGUUAAACCUGGAGUCAUCAAACAUGCCACAGUUUUAUUUAUAGCUGACUCUGAGAUUGAGUUGGAUAAAUUAAUUGAAAGGAAAAAUAGGAUCAGAGAGCCAAAUAAAAAGUACCUAACUGCAGCAUUCGAUACUACUGACAGUGAAACUGACUCAAAAAAAAUUAUUAAAAGAAAAAUUAAAACUUCUGCUUUGUCUGACAGAAUGGAAUCUUUAAAACGGAAGCAAGAAGAUCAAUGUCUUCCAUUUCCUGUUGCAGCGAAAAUACCCAAAAUUAUUGAUAUAAAAAUCCUGAAAUCAGACAAAAAUAUCGUCAAAGCUUCUACAACCAAAGAAACUUCCAAAGAUAUUGAUAAGAAAAGAAUUCCAUUCCAAAUUAUUGACAAUAAUAAACAAGUUUUGGACUGUUCUUCUACACCUCCUGUUAAAAGUAUAGAAGAGAGAAAUAAUAUCAAAAAUAAAGUUUCAAAAAGAAAGUCUUCGAGAAAAAUUCAAGGCGCAAACGCUGUCACACUUAAAGUUGAUGCAUCUGGUAAAGAAAUGGACAUCAGAAAGAAAGGCGAGGAAACAACUACAAACAACGUGAUGAAUCCUCAAAUUAAUCUAAAGAAAUUGACUUCGGCGAACAAAAAUUCUAAAAUUAUUGGAAAGGGAACUUCGGAAAACAAAAAUUAUCCACCUAUUGAAACUGCAAAUUCACCAAAAAAAACUUCUAAAACUAUUAUAAAUACAACUUCGGUCAACAAAAAUUCUCCAGCUAUUGGAAGUGCAAUUUCGAAGAACAAAAAAUCUCCAAUUAUUGGAAAUACAACUUCAGCGCACAAAACUUCUCCAACAACUUCGGCCAAUAAAAAUUCUCCAGCUAUUAAAAGUGCAACUUCGACGGACAAAAAACCUAAAAUUAAUGAAAAUGCAACUUCAAAGAACAAAAAUUCUCUAACUCUUGGAAACGCAAUUGCAGCUAAUAAAAAUUCUUCGGCUAUUGGAAAUAAAACACAAAUUAGUGCUUCGAUAUUUUCAAGUAAAAAUAUAGAUAUACGACCAACCGACAAAAAGUCAGCACCUAAGAAAGGAAAGGUUUCGAACACUUCUUCAACUUCUGUAUCUUUGGACAAAAUUAUUAAAAAAAACGGGCAAUGUUACAAAGAAGGUUUCAACUGAAAAGUUACCUGAAAAAAUUCAAGAUUCAAAUUCUGUCACGCUAGUUAAUAAAACAAAAGUUAACGUAUCUGGCAAGGAAAUGGACAUCACAGAAACUCCAAAGAAUUUGAAAGCAAAAUUUUUUAUAAUCCGAAUCUGCAUAUACCGAAAAAUUAACAGGGUAUCCACUAAGGUGGUCCAAAAGUUGAUGGAAAAAAGUCGAAAUUUUUCUCUCAUCCUCUAGGAUUGAAGUUUAUGAAAAAAAACGUUUGUUGAAAAAAUAACGUUUAAUCGUGCCUCAAAUCCCUUCGAAAUUAACAAGUAAAAUACAUGGUAUAAGAACAGUUUUUCGUAAGUUAGAUAUGAAAUAUAAUAAAAACAUUUGUUAACCAGACUCCCUUAUUGCCUGAAGAAAAUAAAUUUUUAAAUUUAGAAAUGCUCAGAGAAUGACAAAAAAUUAUUUUUAUAAAAUAGGUAAUGUUUGCAGGUUUUACAGGUUCUCCAAAAUAUCUCGUAAAUUUAAAAACAUUAGAGUUUGUUUCUAUUAAAAAUAGUAAAUAUUGAUAUUUUUGUAAAUGAUUUAUUUAAUUAUUUUUUUGUUAUUAUUUUAACAUUUUUGAAGAGAAAUAAAGUAGUCUGGUUGAAAAAUAUUGUUUAUUUUUACAUUUUGUAUUCAAUUUACAAAAAACCGUUAUUUAACAUGUAUAUUUAUAUGGGAAUUUGAAAGGGGUUUGAGAUAAAGCUCAAUGUUUUCUUUCAGCAAACAAAGAACCGUGAGUAUUUUCUUGGAUAAACUUCUGUCCUAAAUCCUGAAAUCACUGAACAAAAAUCGACAUUUGUGGAAAAAAAUUCUUCAAACGAUCAGUACGACCAACACCUGAACAUUGAUUUAAAGGCAACAGAAUCAAAUUUUAAGAAGUUGGUG